AUACGUAGGUGACAAGCGUUAUCCGGAUUUACUGGGCGUAAAGGGCGUGUAGGCGGUCUUGCAAGUCAGAAGUGAAAUUCCUGAGCUCAACUCGGGCGCUGCUUCUGAAACUGCAGGACUUGAGUGCUGGAGGGGAUAGCGGAAUUCCUAGUGGAGCGGUAAAAUGCGCAGAUAUUAGGAAGAACACCGGUGGCGAAGGCGGCAAGCUGGACGGUAACUGACGCUGAGGCGCGAAAGCGUGGGGAGCAAACAGGAUUAAAUACCGUGUGAGGCCACGCCGUAAACGACGAAUACUAGGUGUAGGGGGUAUCGACUCCCUCUGUGCCGCAGUUAACACAAUAAGUAUUCCGCAUGGGGAGUCCGGCCGCAAGGUUGAAACUCAAAGGAAUUGACGGGG
This 397-nucleotide ribosomal RNA is filed under the name uncultured bacterium. RNAcentral's name for it is "partial 16S ribosomal RNA". It matches the Rfam family "Bacterial small subunit ribosomal RNA", at positions 523 to 918 of the family's 1533-position model. The record is from RNAcentral.